This 929-nucleotide ribosomal RNA is filed under the name Microbacterium foliorum. RNAcentral's name for it is "bacterial SSU rRNA". It matches the Rfam family "Bacterial small subunit ribosomal RNA", at positions 565 to 1490 of the family's 1533-position model. The record is from RNAcentral. Lineage: Bacteria; Bacillati; Actinomycetota; Actinomycetes; Micrococcales; Microbacteriaceae.
GAGCUCGUAGGCGGUUUGUCGCGUCUGCUGUGAAAUCCGGAGGCUCAACCUCCGGCCUGCAGUGGGUACGGGCAGACUAGAGUGCGGUAGGGGAGAUUGGAAUUCCUGGUGUAGCGGUGGAAUGCGCAGAUAUCAGGAGGAACACCGAUGGCGAAGGCAGAUCUCUGGGCCGUUACUGACGCUGAGGAGCGAAAGGGUGGGGAGCAAACAGGCUUAGAUACCCUGGUAGUCCACCCCGUAAACGUUGGGAACUAGUUGUGGGGUCCAUUCCACGGAUUCCGUGACGCAGCUAACGCAUUAAGUUCCCCGCCUGGGGAGUACGGCCGCAAGGCUAAAACUCAAAGGAAUUGACGGGGACCCGCACAAGCGGCGGAGCAUGCGGAUUAAUUCGAUGCAACGCGAAGAACCUUACCAAGGCUUGACAUAUACGAGAACGGGCCAGAAAUGGUCAACUCUUUGGACACUCGUAAACAGGUGGUGCAUGGUUGUCGUCAGCUCGUGUCGUGAGAUGUUGGGUUAAGUCCCGCAACGAGCGCAACCCUCGUUCUAUGUUGCCAGCACGUAAUGGUGGGAACUCAUGGGAUACUGCCGGGGUCAACUCGGAGGAAGGUGGGGAUGACGUCAAAUCAUCAUGCCCCUUAUGUCUUGGGCUUCACGCAUGCUACAAUGGCCGGUACAAAGGGCUGCAAUACCGCGAGGUGGAGCGAAUCCCAAAAAGCCGGUCCCAGUUCGGAUUGAGGUCUGCAACUCGACCUCAUGAAGUCGGAGUCGCUAGUAAUCGCAGAUCAGCAACGCUGCGGUGAAUACGUUCCCGGGUCUUGUACACACCGCCCGUCAAGUCAUGAAAGUCGGUAACACCUGAAGCCGGUGGCCUAACCCUUGUGGAGGGAGCCGUCGAAGGUGGGAUCGGUAAUUAGGACGAAGUCGUA